Long non-coding RNA from Gasterosteus aculeatus aculeatus (three-spined stickleback), 444 nucleotides. The record is from Ensembl. Lineage: Eukaryota; Metazoa; Chordata; Actinopteri; Perciformes; Gasterosteidae.
AGAUCCAGACAACAUGCAGCACAUUCUUCAAUUGACUUCCGGGCAGAAAUUAUACAUAAAUUUUUGACGAGGAUUAUGCUGCAGCUGUCCAAGAGGACAUUUCUACAUUUGUCCUCAACAUCUUUGUGGUUUCCAAAGCCACGGAUGAAAGUCUUGCCAAGUCAACAGGAAUAGCCAUCGAGGGAGCAGAGGUUCUGUUUGGUAUUUCUGAUGUUGCAACUGCUUGUGCUUACCUGAUGGGUCUUACCCCAAACAACUGAAAUAUACCUUUGAGGUAUUCCAGAAGAUCCUUUUGGAGCUGGAGGAUGCAAACCAAAAAAUGUCGUCAAAGGUCCAUGAUCUCAAGUGUCUCGGUGCGUUCACAUCAACCACGAUGUGAUUGUUACGCAGCACAGGAUUGCACGUGAGCUGGGCUAGAACGGUGCAGUGGAGAACCAAGGAUCC